GACGAACGCUGGUGGCGUGCUUAACACAUGCAAGUCGAACGGGAUUUAGUAAACAGAAGCCUCGGUGGAAGAUUACUAAUGAGAGUGGCGAACGGGUGAGUAACGCGUGAGCAACCUGCCUAUGACAGUGGGAUAGCCUCGGGAAACCGGGAUUAAUACCGCAUAAAAUCGUAGAAACACAGGUUUUAACGCUCAAAGAUUUAUCGGUCAUAGAUGGGCUCGCGUCUGAUUUGCUAGUUGGUUAGAUAAUAGCCCACCACAGCGACGAUCAGUCGCCGGCCUGAGAAGAUGAACGGUCACAUUGGAACUGAGACACGGUCCAAACUCCUACGGGAGGCACCAGUGGGGAAGAUUGCACAAUGGAGUAAACCCUGAUGCAGCGACGCCGCGUGAACGAAGAAGGUAUUCGUAUCGUAAAGUUCUGUCCUAUGGGAAGAUAAUGACAGUACCAGAGAAGAAAGCUCCGGCUAAAUACGUG
This 478-nucleotide ribosomal RNA is filed under the name uncultured bacterium. RNAcentral's name for it is "partial 16S ribosomal RNA". It matches the Rfam family "Bacterial small subunit ribosomal RNA", at positions 28 to 507 of the family's 1533-position model. The record is from RNAcentral.